GAUGAACGCUGGCGGCGUGCCUAAUACAUGCAAGUCGAGCGAACAGAUGAGGAGCUUGCUCCUCUGACGUUAGCGGCGGACGGGUGAGUAACACGUGGAUAACCUACCUAUAAGACUGGGAUAACUUCGGGAAACCGGAGCUAAUACCGGAUAAUAUAUUGAACCGCAUGGUUCAAUAGUGAAAGACGGUUUUGCUGUCACUUAUAGAUGGAUCCGCGCCGCAUUAGCUAGUUGGUAAGGUAACGGCUUACCAAGGCAACGAUGCGUAGCCGACCUGAGAGGGUGAUCGGCCACACGGGAAGGGAGACACGGUCGAGAAACAGACGGGAAGGAGCAGUAGGGGAGUUUGCGCAAUAGGCGAAAGCCUGACAAAGCAACGCCGCGUGAGAGAAGAAAGUGUUCGGAUCAUAAAACUCUGUUAGUAGGGAAGAACAAAUGAGGCAGUAACUAUGCACGUCUUGACGGUACCUAAUCAGAAAGCCACGGCUAACUACGUG
RNAcentral lists this ribosomal RNA (497 nucleotides) under uncultured bacterium. RNAcentral describes it as "partial 16S ribosomal RNA". It matches the Rfam family "Bacterial small subunit ribosomal RNA", at positions 28 to 507 of the family's 1533-position model. The record is from RNAcentral.